RNAcentral lists this ribosomal RNA (463 nucleotides) under uncultured bacterium. RNAcentral's name for it is "partial 16S ribosomal RNA". It matches the Rfam family "Bacterial small subunit ribosomal RNA", at positions 28 to 507 of the family's 1533-position model. The record is from RNAcentral.
GACGAACGCUGGCGGCGUGCUUAACACAUGCAAGUCGAACGGUGAACCUCUUCGGAGGGGAUCAGUGGCGAACGGGUGAGUAACACGUGGGCAACCUGCCCCCGGCUCUGGGAUAACUCCAAGAAAUUGGGGCUAAUACCGGAUGUUCACCGCUUCCCGCAUGGGUGGUGGUGGAAAGGGUUUCCGGCUGGGGAUGGGCCCGCGGCCUAUCAGCUUGUUGGUGGGGUAGUGGCCUACCAAGGCGACGACGGGUAGCCGGCCUGAGAGGGUGACCGGCCACACUGGGACUGAGACACGGCCCAGACUCCUACGAGAGGCAGCAGUGGGGAAUAUUGCGCAAUGGGCGGAAGCCUGACGCAGCGACGCCGCGUGGGGGAUGACGGCCUUCGGGUUGUAAACCUCUUUCAGCAGGGACGAAGCGCAAGUGACGGUACCUGCAGAAGAAGCACCGGCCAACUACGUG